CAGUAGCCGCGGGAAUACAGAGGGUGCGAGCGUUAAUCGGAUUUACUGGGCGUAAAGCGUGCGUAGGCGGCUUCUUAAGUCGGAUGUAAAAUCCCUGAGCUUAACUUAGGAAUUGCAUUCGAUACUGGGAAGCUAGAGUAUGGGAGAGGAUGGUAGAAUUCCAGGUGUAGCGGUGAAAUGCGUAGAGAUCUGGAGGAAUACCGAUGGCGAAGGCAGCCAUCUGGCCUAAUACUGACGCUGAGGUACGAAAGCAUGGGGAGCAAACAGGAUUAGAUACCCGAGUAGUCCCUGUCUCUUAUAU
Molecule: ribosomal RNA, 301 nt
Filed under: uncultured bacterium
Lineage: Bacteria
Description: partial 16S ribosomal RNA
Rfam family: Bacterial small subunit ribosomal RNA
Source: RNAcentral